Molecule: ribosomal RNA, 134 nt
Organism: Aotus nancymaae (Ma's night monkey)
Lineage: Eukaryota; Metazoa; Chordata; Mammalia; Primates; Aotidae
Source: Ensembl
GUCUAUGGCUUUACCAUGCUGAAUGUUCCUGAUCUCGGAAGCUAAGCAGGGUCGAUCUGGUUAGGUAGUACUUGGAUAGGAGAAGAGAUAACCAGCUGAGACUUCAGUAACUAGCUAACAGGCUGCUUCAGACU